GUGGAACUUUCAACUGCUUGAAUUCCUAAAUAUAAGCUAAAUACCCUACCAAAUUGCUAGAAUUGUCUUCGUAUGAAUCAAAGAAAAUAUCUUUGAAAUGAAUAACCUCUAGAAACAAUGAUUCAAUAAUAUGCGAAAAACAAAACCAUCAUCCAACGACUAACAUAUUUGUCACAACCAAGAAGGAUAUGGCAAAUGGUCUCAUCAUGAAUCUCGGAGCAAGGACACGAUGACAAACAAUGAACUACACACAUACACAUAUGCAAUGAAGUUAUAGUUUGGAAUCUAGAAACAAAAUUAGGAGACAAUAUAUUAUUGAAGACUUUAGCUCUCCCCAUUGAAUCCUUCUUCUUUUAGAUUAUUCUGUACUAGAUAUUUCACUUUGUAAUUCCUCCAAAGGGAAUGUUUUCAUGGUACUUGUUGUUAAUUCCAUCAUUAUCAAAUACUCUUACUGCACUUUCUUGUUGGAUUUUCUCUUCCGUGGAAGCUAGAAAACUCGCAAGCACAUGAACAAAGUCAAUUACAAUCA
Cicer arietinum (chickpea) is the source of this 529-nucleotide non-coding RNA. The record is from RefSeq and is a predicted model, not a curated record. NCBI's taxonomy places the organism in Eukaryota, Viridiplantae, Streptophyta, Magnoliopsida, Fabales, Fabaceae.